GAUGAAGAACGUAGCGAAAUGCGAUAAGUAGUGUGAAUUGCAGAAUUCAGUGAAUCAUCGAAUCUUUGAACGCACAUUGCGCCCUUUGGUAUUCCUUAGGGCAGGCCUGUUCGAGCGUCAUUUAAACCUUCAAGCUAAGCUUGGUGUUGGGUGACUGUCCGCUUCACUGCGGACUCGCCUCAAAAUUAUUGGCGGCCGGUACAUUGGCUUCGAGCGCAGCAGAAACGCGAACUCGGGCCCGUCGUAUUGGCUCCCAGAAGCUAUCUUCACAAUUUUGACCUCGGAUCAGGUAGGGAUACCCGCUGAACUUAAGCAUAUCAAUAAGCGGAGGA
This 332-nucleotide unclassified non-coding RNA is filed under the name soil metagenome. RNAcentral describes it as "partial contains 5.8S ribosomal RNA, internal transcribed spacer 2, and large subunit ribosomal RNA". The stretch from base 1 to 120 matches the Rfam family "5.8S ribosomal RNA", at positions 35 to 154 of the family's 154-position model. The record is from RNAcentral.